GUGUGUUAGUCUUUAACAGGAAGAGGUGUGGCAAUGACUGGAAGGGGUGGGGCAAAUGUAAAUUAGGGGGUACCCGAGUUCCGUCAUGCCAAGGGCAGCACAGAUCUAAAAUACACCACUGGCUGUAGGUGCAGGUAUAAGGUGUCCUUCUAGGAAUACCAUGUGCCCAGAAGAAAGUUACCAAAGUAGUUGAUGACAGGCUUUCAGAACAUUAAGCUACAUCUCCAUAAUGCUAUAGUCUAAGG
Molecule: non-coding RNA, 245 nt
Organism: Pelobates cultripes (western spadefoot toad)
Lineage: Eukaryota; Metazoa; Chordata; Amphibia; Anura; Pelobatidae
Source: the annotation of a GenBank genome assembly